RNAcentral lists this non-coding RNA (117 nucleotides) under Gorilla gorilla gorilla (western lowland gorilla). Lineage: Eukaryota; Metazoa; Chordata; Mammalia; Primates; Hominidae. The record is from Rfam by way of RNAcentral.
GCCAGGCGUGGUGGCUCACGCCUGUAAUCCCAGCACUUUGGGAGGCUGAGGUGGGCGGAUUGCUUGAGGCCAGGAGUUCAAGACCAGCCUGGCCAACAUGGCAAAACCCUGCCUCUA